RNAcentral lists this ribosomal RNA (155 nucleotides) under uncultured Edwardsiella sp. Its description in RNAcentral is "partial 16S ribosomal RNA". The record is from RNAcentral. Lineage: Bacteria; Pseudomonadati; Pseudomonadota; Gammaproteobacteria; Enterobacterales; Hafniaceae.
ACCCUACGGGAGGCAGCAGUGGGGAAUAUUGCACAAUGGAGGCAAGCUUGAUGCAGACACACCGGGUGUAUGAAGAAAGGCAGCGGGAUUUAAACGCAUGCAGCGGGAGUCCUGCGGGAGGCAGCAGACUCCUGGGAGGCAGCGAUCUGCGGAGU